CUCCAUGGAGGCGGCGCACACGCAGGGGAAAGGCAGUCUCCGGUGAUGUGAUGCGACGCUCGACAACGACCAUCCGUGCGGCGACUCAACAACUCAUCCAUGGCACAACUCUGUGGUGCCACCUCGAGGCAACGCUACUGGUCCUGCAAGUCACCGAUGAUGGAGCUGCAAUGAAGCGCUCGUCGCCGACAACGCUGCAUCGCAGCAUCUGUCAUGGCCGCCAACUGCAUCUCAGCUUUCGCCGUUGUCACCGCGUGCUGCAUCGCAACAUCCGCCAUGGUCGUCGACACUGCAUCUGAUCGAUAUUGCAAUGAAGCUUCAUCGAGGCCGUCUAGCGGUGCAACGGAGCGUCGUCGGCCCUGCGGAAGUGACCGCGGCAAGUGGCCGACGGGGUACUGCAACUCCGGCGACGUUGCCU
This 418-nucleotide long non-coding RNA is filed under the name Hordeum vulgare. RNAcentral's name for it is "long non-coding RNA (HVUL_LNC001692)". The record is from RNAcentral. Lineage: Eukaryota; Viridiplantae; Streptophyta; Magnoliopsida; Poales; Poaceae.